GACGAACGCUGGCGGCGUGCCUAAUACAUGCAAGUCGAGCGAACAGACGAGGAGCUUGCUCCUCUGACGUUAGCGGCGGACGGGUGAGUAACACGUGGAUAACCUACCUAUAAGACUGGGAUAACUUCGGGAAACCGGAGCUAAUACCGGAUAAUAUAUUGAACCGCAUGGUUCAAUAGUGAAAGACGGUUUUGCUGUCACUUAUAGAUGGAUCCGCGCCGCAUUAGCUAGUUGGUAAGGUAACGGCUUACCAAGGCAACGAUGCGUAGCCGACCUGAGAGAGUGAUCGGCCACACUGGAACUGAGACACGGUCCAGACGCCUACGGGAGGCAGCAGUAGGGAAUCUUCCGCAGUGGGCGAGAGCCUGACGGAGCAACGCCGCGUGAGUGAUGAAGGUCUUCGGAUCGUAAAACUCUGUUAUUAGGGAAGAACAAAUGUGUAAGUAACUAUGCACGUCUUGACGGUACCUAGUCAGAAAGCCACGGCUAACUACGUG
Molecule: ribosomal RNA, 497 nt
Filed under: uncultured bacterium
Lineage: Bacteria
Description: partial 16S ribosomal RNA
Rfam family: Bacterial small subunit ribosomal RNA
Source: RNAcentral